RNAcentral lists this ribosomal RNA (253 nucleotides) under uncultured bacterium. RNAcentral's name for it is "partial 16S ribosomal RNA". It matches the Rfam family "Bacterial small subunit ribosomal RNA", at positions 524 to 776 of the family's 1533-position model. The record is from RNAcentral.
UACGAAGGGGGCUAGCGUUGCUCGGAAUUACUGGGCGUAAAGGGCGCGUAGGCGGGUGUUUAAGUCAGGGGUCAAAUCCCAGAGCUCAACUCUGGAACUGCCUUUGAUACUGGACACCUAGAGUACGGGAGAGGUGUGUGGAACUCCGAGUGUAGAGGUGAAAUUCGUAGAUAUUCGGAAGAACACCAGUGGCGAAGGCGACACACUGGCCCGUUACUGACGCUGAGGCGCGAAAGCGUGGGGAGCAAACAGG